This 465-nucleotide ribosomal RNA is filed under the name uncultured bacterium. RNAcentral describes it as "bacterial SSU rRNA". It matches the Rfam family "Bacterial small subunit ribosomal RNA", at positions 330 to 792 of the family's 1533-position model. The record is from RNAcentral.
CCCAGACUCCUACGGGAGGCAGCAGUGAGGAAUAUUGGUCAAUGGUCGGGAGACUGAACCAGCCAAGCCGCGUGAGGGAGGAAGGUACAGAGUAUCGUAAACCUCUUUUGUCAGGGAACAAAGGCGGGGACGUGUCCCCGGAUGAGUGUACCUGAAGAAAAAGCAUCGGCUAACUCCGUGCCAGCAGCCGCGGUAAUACGUAGGUGGCAAGCGUUGUCCGGAUUUACUGGGGGUAAAGGGCGUGCAGCCGGGCCGACAAGUCAGAUGUGAAAUCCACGGGCUUAACCCGCGAACUGCAUUUGAAACUAUUGGUCUUGAGUACCGGAGAGGUCAUCGGAAUUCCUUGUGUAGCGGUGAAAUGCGUAGAUAUAAGGAAGAACACCAGUGGCGAAGGCGGAUGACUGGACGGCAACUGACGGUGAGGCGCGAAAGCGUGGGGAGCAAACAGGAUUAGAUACCCCAGUA